GGUCAUAGGUCAGUGGCAGAGCACUUGCCUUGUACGCAGAAGGCCCCGGGUUCGUUUCCCACUGGCAUCU
Podarcis lilfordi (Lilford's wall lizard) is the source of this 70-nucleotide non-coding RNA. The record is from the annotation of a GenBank genome assembly. Lineage: Eukaryota; Metazoa; Chordata; Lepidosauria; Squamata; Lacertidae.